AACGAACGCUGGCGGCAGGCUUAACACAUGCAAGUCGAGCGCCUCGCAAGAGGAGCGGCAGACGGGUGAGUACCGCGUGGGAACGUACCCUUAUCUUCGGAAUAGCCCUGGGAAACUGGAAGUAAUACCGAAUGUGCCCUUAGGGGGAAAGAUUUAUCGGAUAAGGAUCGGCCCGCGUUGGAUUAGCUAGUUGGUGGGGUAAAGGCCUACCAAGGCGACGAUCCAUAGCUGGUCUGAGAGGAUGAUCAGCCACAUUGGGACUGAGACACGGCCCAAACUCCUACGGGAGGCAGCAGUGGGGAAUAUUGGACAAUGGGCGCAAGCCUGAUCCAGCCAUGCCGCGUGAGUGAUGAAGGCCUUAGGGUUGUAAAGCUCUUUCACCGGAGAAGAUAAUGACGGUAUCCGGAGAAGAAGCCCCGGCUAACUUCGUG
RNAcentral lists this ribosomal RNA (431 nucleotides) under uncultured bacterium. Its description in RNAcentral is "partial 16S ribosomal RNA". It matches the Rfam family "Bacterial small subunit ribosomal RNA", at positions 29 to 507 of the family's 1533-position model. The record is from RNAcentral.